CUGGAAACAACGGUGCAGACUGGAGGCUUCCAAAACCACUGCAGUGGGAUGUGACCGUCCUACACAGAGGCCUCUCAUGCAGGAGCAGGAGUCCAUCAGCUUUUUCAGCCCAGAAAAUGGGUUCCCUCUCCAUCCCUUACAGGUAAAGUAACUAAGAGAGGAUUUCUUUUUCCUUCCCUCCUCUCUUCCUUUCAUCUUUUUUUUUCCCCCUUUUCUGAUUGCUUGACACAGCUCUCCCAACUGAAAGAAGGCAUUUAUAGCAGCUUUGCUGAAGUUGAGAAAGUCGAGCCUGAGAUAAACAUGGCCAUGUGAGAAGAAAAUUAGCUCCAGAUUGUUUCAUUCCAUGCAAGCAAAACAUUGAAAAGGCC
RNAcentral lists this long non-coding RNA (368 nucleotides) under Gallus gallus (chicken). Its description in RNAcentral is "lncRNA (ENSGALG00010019445.1)". Lineage: Eukaryota; Metazoa; Chordata; Aves; Galliformes; Phasianidae. The record is from RNAcentral.